RNAcentral lists this long non-coding RNA (1599 nucleotides) under Felis catus (domestic cat). RNAcentral describes it as "lncRNA (ENSFCAG00000048868.1)". Lineage: Eukaryota; Metazoa; Chordata; Mammalia; Carnivora; Felidae. The record is from RNAcentral.
AGUCUGCAGAGAGUCAGAGAGAACAGAAACUGUUGAAUGAAAGAACCAUAAGAAUAACUUAUUCUUAAAAGAAUGCAAUCCUAAUGAUAUGCCAUAGCUAGAUAUGUUCAAUCAUAUGGGCCAAGUUGAUAGACUUGAUCCCCUGUAUCUACUCUACAUAAGAGAGGAAACAUAAGGAUGUGAUGUGGUCUCAGGGAGUCAAGUAAAGUCUGGAGAGAAAGCAGUGCAAUUCUGGAAGUUCUAUAUCUCUCCAGUUUACCCAAGUUUCCAGGGCAGGGGAGAACUGUAGAUGACAAUGGGAAGUAAAAUAAGCAAUGAUGGUAAGCAUGGGUCAACAUUCAAGCACAACCCUACAUGCAUCUGGUGCACAAAACAUGAUGAAAUGUAUAAAUAAAUUACCAAAGAAAAAAGAAAGUACAUCAGUCCUAUUGGGAGCCUGCACCAUUUGUGAGGGAUCUUUCUCGGCAAUCCAAUGGGUAUCCAACCUAAUGGGGAUGUGUAGUUUUCUAUCCACAGCAAAUAAAACAGGGGUGGUGGGUUUUUGUUUCUUUUUGGCAGUAGCUGAGGGUGAGGACAGACCCCACCUAUCUACCUUGUAGAUAGAGAGAGAUUGCUAUGAGCAUCGCCUGGCCAUUGCUAGACACCCCCCCCCGGGGGGGCUUCCAGGUCAGAUGGAGGCCCUAGUGGGUUAGGGGCAGAACUGGCAGUUAGCUCAAGGGGUGCGGUGGGUUGAGAAAAGGGACUUUCCUCACACCCAAGGGUCAGUUAGAGUCUCUUGCCUUUCAGAACGCAUGAACCUCGGUCAGCUUCCAGUCUCUUCCAGGACUUCCAGCCUAGCAGCGAGACCCUGGAAGAAAAAAAAGGCGGGGGGGGGGGGGGGUUGAGGGCACGACAUUUGUCUAGCUCAGGAGGUGUGGGUGGGUUGGGAGGCUUCUGCUGCCCCUAGGUCUGUUGGAGCCGCCCCCUAGUGUCUUCAGGAAAUGGGAAUUUCCUCCAUGAAUGGCCAACCUAAAUCCAACUUGCCCAAGGGUUAUACACCUGAAAUCCAGGCCCUGGAUCUGAGGGACUGGGGCCCUAGGAGGAGGCUAGCUGAAAGAAUUGGGUGGCCUUGGAGGCUCCCUUGUCCCCAGACUCUGUUAGUGUCGUCGCCGAGGAACAUCCGUAAGCCAAGAAGUGUCCAUGAGUGCCCCCUAAGAGUGUCCAGGCCCGCGUCAGAUCUGUAAAGACUUGUUUCUGGAUCCUUUCGAGUAGGUUAUUUUUCUUCUUUUAGAAGGAUGUUAGUGUAUUUUGUUUUUCUUUCUCCAAACCACCCUAUUUGAAUUUCCUACAUGGGAUUUAAAGAGAGACAGACCGAGAGAGAAAGAGACCACAGAUUUAGGGUGGGGAGGCUAUCUAUUUCAGUGACCAGGAGAAAAAAGGCCAAGGCAUUUUUUCAAGUCAAUGUAAAAACUGAACAUUUGAGAAAUCUAUAAAGGGAAAUAGGUAAAAUCCUUCCAGGAACAUGCUGGUUAGCCUAAAUGCUUCUUCUGUUAGGAGGCAGAAACAGGAAAUUCCAUGUAAAGAUGGCAGGAGGCUAGGUCACAGAAUCCCUUCCAUCAA